CGGAGGUGCAAGCGUUAAAUCGGAAUUACUGGGCGUAAAAGCGCACGCAGGCGGCUUUUUUAAGUCGGAUGUGAAAGCCCCGGGCCUCAACCUGGGAAUUGCAUCUGAUACUGGGAAGCUAGAGUAUGUGAGAGGGGGGUAGAAUUCCAAGUGUAGCGGUGAAAUGCGUAGAGAUUUUGGAGGAAUACCAGUGGCGAAGGCGGCCCCCUGGCACAAUACUGACGCUCAGGUGCGAAAGCGUGGGGGAGCAAACAGGAUU
Molecule: ribosomal RNA, 259 nt
Filed under: uncultured bacterium
Lineage: Bacteria
Description: partial 16S ribosomal RNA
Rfam family: Bacterial small subunit ribosomal RNA
Source: RNAcentral